UACGAAGGGUGCAAGCGUUGUUCGGAAUCAUUGGGCGUAAAGCGCGUGUAGGUGGUUAACUAAGUCGGGUGUGAAAUCCCUCGGCUCAACCAAGGAAGUGCAUUCGAAACUAGUUAACUAGAAGACGGUAGAGGAAGGUGGAAUUCCAAGUGUAGAGGUGAAAUUCGUAGAUAUUUGGAGGAAUACCGGAGGCGAAGGCGGCCUUCUGGGCCGUUCUUGACACUGAGACGCGAAAGCGUGGGUAGCAAACAGG
This 253-nucleotide ribosomal RNA is filed under the name uncultured bacterium. RNAcentral's name for it is "partial 16S ribosomal RNA". It matches the Rfam family "Bacterial small subunit ribosomal RNA", at positions 524 to 776 of the family's 1533-position model. The record is from RNAcentral.